This 256-nucleotide unclassified non-coding RNA is filed under the name uncultured fungus. Its description in RNAcentral is "sequence contains ITS1". The record is from RNAcentral. Lineage: Eukaryota; Fungi.
CUGAAAAGGCGAUCGUUCGUUCCUACGUUCGUUCUCACCCCUUUGUGAACCGUAACAGUCCCUGGCGGCGGGGUGCGAGUGGACUCGGGUGCCGAGAGGUGCCCUCUCGGCGCGUGGCGUCCCCGGACCUGUCAGCUUGUUGGGUCAUCCACUCUGGAGGGUGGCCUGCUUGCCGUGGACAAACCGCCAAAUGUGCCCUCAACUUGCCAUUUCAACUUUGCCGUCUCAACAUACACUGGGUAUAGCAAUACCUUGA